Molecule: transfer RNA, 81 nt
Filed under: Limosilactobacillus mucosae
Lineage: Bacteria; Bacillati; Bacillota; Bacilli; Lactobacillales; Lactobacillaceae
Also listed under: 1 other name
Description: Lactobacillus mucosae tRNA_Tyr_GTA
Rfam family: tRNA
About the family: Transfer RNA (tRNA) molecules are approximately 80 nucleotides in length. Their secondary structure includes four short double-helical elements and three loops (D, anti-codon, and T loops).
Source: RNAcentral
GGAAAUGUAGCGAAGAUGGAAAACGCGACGGUCUGUAAAACCGUUCCUUCGGGUUCGUAGGUUCGAUUCCUACCAUUUCCA